This 71-nucleotide transfer RNA is filed under the name Hippocampus kuda (spotted seahorse). RNAcentral describes it as "tRNA-Trp". It matches the Rfam family "tRNA". Rfam says of the family: Transfer RNA (tRNA) molecules are approximately 80 nucleotides in length. Their secondary structure includes four short double-helical elements and three loops (D, anti-codon, and T loops). Lineage: Eukaryota; Metazoa; Chordata; Actinopteri; Syngnathiformes; Syngnathidae. RNAcentral also lists the same sequence under 2 other names. The record is from RNAcentral.
AAGAGUUUAGGUUAAUAAAAGACCAAAGGCCUUCAAAGCCUUAAGUAGAAGUGAAAAUCCUCUAACUUUUG